RNAcentral lists this unclassified non-coding RNA (391 nucleotides) under soil metagenome. Its description in RNAcentral is "partial contains 5.8S ribosomal RNA, internal transcribed spacer 2, and large subunit ribosomal RNA". The stretch from base 1 to 122 matches the Rfam family "5.8S ribosomal RNA", at positions 35 to 154 of the family's 154-position model. The record is from RNAcentral.
GAUGAAGAACGUAGUGAAAUGCGAUACUUGGUGUGAAUUGCAGAAUCCCGUGAACCAUCGAGUCUUUGAACGCAAGUUGCGCCCGAAGCCAUUAGGCCGAGGGCACGCCUGCCUGGGCGUCACACGUCGUUGCCCCCCCAUCUACUCCUUCGGGAUUGCGGGGGGCGGAUGAUGGCCUCCCGUGCGCCUCGUCGCGCGGUUGGCAUAAAUGCCAAGUCCUCGGCGACGCACGCCACGACAAUCGGUGGUUGCGAAACCUCGGUUGCCCGUCGUGUGCGGUCGUCGCGCAUCGAGGGCUCGAAAAAAUUGCCGGGCUCCGACUCGGCUUUCAACGCGACCCCAGGUCAGGCGGGGUUACCCGCUGAAUUUAAGCAUAUCAAUAAGCGGAGGA